CGCCGCCUUACCCGGCCAGCUCCAGCAGCAGGCUGCCCACGCUGACCCCCCGCGCCGACCUGGCCGCCAGCACCGCCGCCAGCUGCGGCAGCUUGAUCACGGCGCACACCGCCCAGCCUCCACAGACUCUCUCCAGAUCUUAUCCUGUUGAACCUGGUCCUGCUGCAGUGCUGCCUGCUCAUCAGCCCAGGCCCGAGUAGCCGGUUGUGCAAUGACAGGUCUUCUGGGUUGGGUGCUGCCGAGAGACACAGAUGGAGCUGAGGCUGGUUGCCCCAGAGGUGUGGUUGCUGGUUGCCAAGACCUAACCAAGCCAAAAAGCAAAAAAAGUCAUGUAUCCAUGCAGCAUUAUCAUGAACUGAAGAAAGGAACUGUUUGCCAACCUGGCCUGAUAGUUGUCUCUGUUCCUAUUGUGGAAUCUGCUUAUCCUGCUGCAUUUGAUCCAGGGUCCUCUCCAAGUUAGAGUGUGUGCAGCUGGUUGGAGAAUGGGGUUUUAGCAGCAUCUAGCUGCUCUAAAAGGAAGCCGAGGCAUGUUUGGAAGACCCAGUGCAUUAAUCAGUGCACAUGGGAUUUUAGCUCCUGAUCAGUCAGGAAAGGAUCCUGAUGGGAAAAGUUUUUUGAAGCUCAAGAAGUUCUCAUAGGUUUCACUGGAAGCCAGGGACUUCAGAGGCUCAUUCCAAAACACUGAAAAACUUAAUGGAAAUUGCUUCGUUAAAUGCAAGAAUACAUCAGUUACAGAAGGGAAGUAAUAACAGGAGAUGAAUGU
This is a long non-coding RNA of Harpia harpyja (harpy eagle), 763 nucleotides long. RefSeq lists it as uncharacterized. NCBI's taxonomy places the organism in Eukaryota, Metazoa, Chordata, Aves, Accipitriformes, Accipitridae. The record is from RefSeq and is a predicted model, not a curated record. The transcript has 4 exons.